RNAcentral lists this ribosomal RNA (440 nucleotides) under uncultured bacterium. Its description in RNAcentral is "partial 16S ribosomal RNA". It matches the Rfam family "Bacterial small subunit ribosomal RNA", at positions 338 to 795 of the family's 1533-position model. The record is from RNAcentral.
CCUACGGGUGGCUGCAGUGGGGAAUAUUGCACAAUGGGGGAAACCCUGAUGCAGCGACGCCGCGUGAGCGAUGAAGUAUUUCGGUAUGUAAAGCUCUAUCAGCAGGGAAGAAAAUGACGGUACCUGACUAAGAAGCCCCGGCUAACUACGUGCCAGCAGCCGCGGUAAUACGUAGGGGGCAAGCGUUAUCCGGAUUUACUGGGUGUAAAGGGAGCGUAGACGGCGAUGCAAGCCAGAUGUGAAAGCCCGGGGCUCAACCCCGGGACUGCAUUUGGAACUGUAUAGCUGGAGUGUCGGAGAGGCAGGCGGAAGUCCUAGUGUAGCGGUGAAAUGCGUAGAUAUUAGGAGGAACACCAGUGGCGAAGGCGGCCUGCUGGGCUUUUACUGACGCUGAGGCUCGAAAGUGUGGGGAGCAAACAGGAUUAGAUACCCCAGUAGUC